RNAcentral lists this ribosomal RNA (253 nucleotides) under uncultured bacterium. RNAcentral's name for it is "partial 16S ribosomal RNA". It matches the Rfam family "Bacterial small subunit ribosomal RNA", at positions 524 to 776 of the family's 1533-position model. The record is from RNAcentral.
UACGUAGGGUGCGAGCGUUGUCCGGAAUUACUGGGCGUAAAGAGCUCGUAGGUGGUUUGUCGCGUUGUUCGUGAAAACUCACAGCUUAACUGUGGGCGUGCGGGCGAUACGGGCAGACUGGAGUACUGCAGGGGAGACUGGAAUUCCUGGUGUAGCGGUGAAAUGCGUAGAUAUCAGGAGGAACACCGGUGGCGAAGGCGGCUCUCUGGGCCAACACUGACGCUCAUGCACGAAAGCGUGGGGAGCAAACAGG